UGUUUCAUGGGAGUAAAACAUCCAGACACAACAGAAUGCGACAACAGAUGUAUCAGAAGCUCAAAAUCAGAAACUGAAAACUGCCCAUGUGGAGUGUCACCAGAGAAUGCUGACCAUCUCCUCCAAAACUGCUCUCUUUACCAAGAGGCUGUACAUGACACUGGCCCCAAAACACCCCAAUAGAAAGAAAAUUAUAUGGAGAGUUCCCUGAUUUGGAAACCAAUGCGAAAAUAAUCUCAUAUACUGGUCCAGUCAUCUGAAUGCUCCAAUAAAAAAAUGAGAAGAAAGAAGAUUGGAAGCAACAUGGCUAUCAAAAAGCAGAGACGAUACAAACCUCAUUAGAUGGAGAGUUUUAUUUUGUUGGUAAAGUCCUUGGUUUUGAGCCAGCAGAGAAACAUAGAAAGGGCCGUACACAUAUAUGUAAAAUACAUGCUUGAUCUAUUAGUGUAGAGAAAAAUAUUCGUUAUGAGCUGCUGGCCAGAUUAUGCCCAAACAGUACAGUUAUGUAUUCACAUUAUUAUGUUAAUAUUUAUGGGGUAAUUAACAAUGUUAAAAGAAGUGGGAUGUGUAGCUGUAUUGGAUAAAAUCUCUUGGGUCCCUAUAAAUGGGGCUUGAGCUCAAAUCUUACCCGAGCUGAGUUGUGUUUGCUGAGCCUCUAAAUGCAGUACAGAAACCUUUUUACUCCAAGUUUCCACUAAAAGAGAUAAGACCAUGAGCAUGUUAUAAGCAUGAAAGAUGCGCUCUAUAAAAAGAUAAUUAGAAAAAUAAAGGAAUACUUUGUGGUCAAUGGAAAUAGCAAGGAUAUUUAUUUGGUAGUCCAGAUUAAUACAUUAAAAUCCUAAAUAAGAACCCUUAAAAUGCAAAGUAGCAAAACUAUAUUGAAAACUUAUAACCAGCCACUACAUAAAACAUUCACUAACCCUAACCAUAUGACCAAUAGUGACUACAAAACAUUUAUGGCUGCCUUUUAAGUCAACAAUUAGUUGCCUGAUUGCAACUUGCUUAGUACAUAAGACUCUAUAAAGUUAUUAGAGCUAUUGAAACUAUUUUACCAAGAAAUACUCAUAUUUAGUGUUAAGAUAUUACAGUGAGACUUUCCUAAUCCUAUUUGGUGAUAUCCUAUUUGGUGAUGAGAUGAGACUUUGCUAGUCAUAUUUGGUGUUGAGACAUUACAUUGAGAUUUUCCUAGUCAUACUUUGAUGUUUAGACUUGACUACUUUCUGUUUCUUCCAUUCAAGUUUAUACUUUCACUCAGCAAUCUAAUACUUGAUACUCUUUCUAUUAUUGACAAAUUCAUGUAUGAAUACAAGCUAUUUGAUAGCAAUUACUUCAUUUUAAGGUACAUUAGCUUUAAAAACUGUAUAUUCAUCAUAAUUUAGUCACCACAAUGGAAGUUAUUGUUUACAAAUUUAAUUCUCUCACAAACUAUGUUCCUUCCUCUCAACAAACACUCUUAAUGUUAAUCUUCUCAUCUCCUCUUGAUAAUGGUAUUCAGAAGUCAACCUAGAUUUCCAUUUGAAUCAACUUAACAUUAAAAGCUGAAUAGUAUUUAUUUAGAAUCUUAUCAUACUGAUUAUUUUGAUAAUGACUCCAUAUUGUCUGUGUUUGUUUAUAGGCUUUUUUUUCCUAAGUUUUGAAUCGAUCAUUUGUUUUUUAAUGCAUUGGUUGAAUAACAAAAGAGGACAAUGGACCUCAUUCACCAAUAGUAAACAAACAACAUUUAGUCACGUGAUCUUAUUGAUAAAACAACGGAAAAAAACUGUCACAUGACAACCAUCAUGAAUUAAACAUGAGAUCGUAAAUUAUAUAGAAGAUAUAGAGAACCACGUGGCUAAGUGUUGUUUGUUUACGAUUGGUGAAUGAGGCCUAUUGGUUUUUUACAUUUUUACUUGCUUUUA
Biomphalaria glabrata is the source of this 1898-nucleotide long non-coding RNA. RefSeq lists it as uncharacterized. The transcript is spliced from 3 exons. The record is from RefSeq and is a predicted model, not a curated record. Lineage: Eukaryota; Metazoa; Mollusca; Gastropoda; Planorbidae.